GACGAACGCUGGCGGCGUGCCUAAUACAUGCAAGUCGAGCGAGGUUUUUCUGGUGCUUGCACCGGAAAAACUUAGCGGCGAACGGGUGAGUAACACGUAAAGAACCUGCCUCAUAGACUGGGACAACUAUUGGAAACGAUAGCUAAUACCGGAUAACAGCAUUAACUGCAUGGUUGAUGUUUAAAAGUUGGUUUUGCUAACACUAUGAGAUGGCUUUGCGGUGCAUUAGCUAGUUGGUGGGGUAAAGGCCUACCAAGGCGACGGGUAGCCGGCCUGAGAGGGUGGACGGCCACAUUGGGACUGAGACACGGCCCAGACUCCUACGGGAGGCAGCAGUGGGGAAUAUUGCACAAUGGGCGCAAGCCUGAUGCAGCGACGCCGCGUGGGGGAUGGAAGGCCUUCGGGUUGUAAACUCCUUUCGCCCGGGACGAAGCCCACCUGGUGGGUGACGGUACCGUGGAGAAGAAGCACCGGCUAACUACGUGCCAGCAGCCGCGGUAAUACGUAGGGUGCAAGCGUUGUCCGGAUUUACUGGGCGUAAAGAGCUCGUAGGUGGUGUGUCGCGUCGUCUGUGAAAUUCCGGGGCUUAACUCCGGGCGUGCAGGCGAUACGGGCACGACUAGAGUGCUGUAGGGGUAACUGGAAUUCCUGGUGUAGCGGUGAAAUGCGCAGAUAUCAGGAGGAACACCGAUGGCGAAGGCAGGUUACUGGGCAGUUACUGACGCUGAGGAGCGAAAGCAUGGGGAGCGAACAGGAUUAGAUACCCUGGUAGUCCAUGCUGUAAACGGUGGGCGCUAGGUGUGGGCUGUGUGUUUGCAGUCUGUGCCGUAGCUAACGCAUUAAGCGCCCCGCCUGGGGAGUACGGCCGCAAGGCUAAAACUCAAAGGAAUUGACGGGGGCCCGCACAAGCGGCGGAGCAUGUGGAUUAAUUCGAUGCAACGCGAAGAACCUUACCUGGGUUUGACAUGCACCAGAUCGGCGUAGAGAUACGUUUUCCCUUGUGGUUGGUGCACAGGUGGUGCAUGGUUGUCGUCAGCUCGUGUCGUGAGAUGUUGGGUUAAGUCCCGCAACGAGCGCAACCCUUGUCUUAUGUUGCCAGCACAUUUUUGGUGGGGACUCAUGAGAAACUGCCGGGGUCAACUCGGAGGAAGGUGGGGAUGACGUCAAAUCAUCAUGCCCUUUAUACCCAGGGCUUCACACAUGCUACAAUGGUCGGUACAACGGGUUGCGACACUGUGAAGUGAAGCUAAUCUCUUAAAGCCGGCCUCAGUUCGGAUUGGGGUCUGCAACUCGACCCCAUGAAGUCGGAGUCGCUAGUAAUCGCAGAUCAGCAACGCUGCGGUGAAUACGUUCCCGGGCCU
Molecule: ribosomal RNA, 1361 nt
Filed under: uncultured bacterium
Lineage: Bacteria
Description: bacterial SSU rRNA
Rfam family: Bacterial small subunit ribosomal RNA
Source: RNAcentral